CUACGGGAGGCUGCAGCUGAGGAAAUUUUACAAUGCUCGAAAGAGUGAUAAAAUGAGCCAGAGUGUUUCUCUAAGAGAAACUUUUAUCUGUUGUAAAAAGACAGAUGAAUAAGGACUGGGCAAGACCGGUGCCAGCCGCCGCGGUAAUACCGGCGGUCCAAGUUGCAUCCACAUUUAUUGGGUCUAAAACAUCCGUAGCUUGUUUUGUAAGUCUCUUGUGAAAUCUCAUAUCUCAAGUAUGAGGCGUGCAAGAGAUACUGCAUCACUAGAGACCGGAAGACGCAAAGAGUACGAUUAAGGUAGCGGUAAAAUGUGUUAAUCUUAAUUGGACUAACAAUGGCGAAGGCACUUUGCGAGCACGGUUCUGACAGUGAGGGAUGAAGGCUAGGGGCGCAAAAGGGAUUAGAUACCCUGGUAGUC
Molecule: ribosomal RNA, 420 nt
Filed under: uncultured archaeon
Lineage: Archaea
Description: partial 16S ribosomal RNA
Rfam family: Archaeal small subunit ribosomal RNA
Source: RNAcentral